This 2923-nucleotide ribosomal RNA is filed under the name Staphylococcus aureus. Its description in RNAcentral is "23S ribosomal RNA". It matches the Rfam family "Bacterial large subunit ribosomal RNA". Lineage: Bacteria; Bacillati; Bacillota; Bacilli; Caryophanales; Staphylococcaceae. The record is from RNAcentral.
GAUUAAGUUAUUAAGGGCGCACGGUGGAUGCCUUGGCACUAGAAGCCGAUGAAGGACGUUACUAACGACGAUAUGCUUUGGGGAGCUGUAAGUAAGCUUUGAUCCAGAGAUUUCCGAAUGGGGAAACCCAGCAUGAGUUAUGUCAUGUUAUCGAUAUGUGAAUACAUAGCAUAUCAGAAGGCACACCCGGAGAACUGAAACAUCUUAGUACCCGGAGGAAGAGAAAGAAAAUUCGAUUCCCUUAGUAGCGGCGAGCGAAACGGGAAGAGCCCAAACCAACAAGCUUGCUUGUUGGGGUUGUAGGACACUCUAUACGGAGUUACAAAGGACGACAUUAGACGAAUCAUCUGGAAAGAUGAAUCAAAGAAGGUAAUAAUCCUGUAGUCGAAAAUGUUGUCUCUCUUGAGUGGAUCCUGAGUACGACGGAGCACGUGAAAUUCCGUCGGAAUCUGGGAGGACCAUCUCCUAAGGCUAAAUACUCUCUAGUGACCGAUAGUGAACCAGUACCGUGAGGGAAAGGUGAAAAGCACCUCGGAAGGGGAGUGAAAUAGAACCUGAAACCGUGUGCUUACAAGUAGUCAGAGCCCGUUAAUGGGUGAUGGCGUGCCUUUUGUAGAAUGAACCGGCGAGUUACGAUUUGAUGCAAGGUUAAGCAGUAAAUGUGGAGCCGUAGCGAAAGCGAGUCUGAAUAGGGCGUUUAGUAUUUGGUCGUAGACCCGAAACCAGGUGAUCUACCCUUGGUCAGGUUGAAGUUCAGGUAACACUGAAUGGAGGACCGAACCGACUUACGUUGAAAAGUGAGCGGAUGAACUGAGGGUAGCGGAGAAAUUCCAAUCGAACCUGGAGAUAGCUGGUUCUCUCCGAAAUAGCUUUAGGGCUAGCCUCAAGUGAUGAUUAUUGGAGGUAGAGCACUGUUUGGACGAGGGGCCCCUCUCGGGUUACCGAAUUCAGACAAACUCCGAAUGCCAAUUAAUUUAACUUGGGAGUCAGAACAUGGGUGAUAAGGUCCGUGUUCGAAAGGGAAACAGCCCAGACCACCAGCUAAGGUCCCAAAAUAUAUGUUAAGUGGAAAAGGAUGUGGCGUUGCCCAGACAACUAGGAUGUUGGCUUAGAAGCAGCCAUCAUUUAAAGAGUGCGUAAUAGCUCACUAGUCGAGUGACACUGCGCCGAAAAUGUACCGGGGCUAAACAUAUUACCGAAGCUGUGGAUUGUCCUUUGGACAAUGGUAGGAGAGCGUUCUAAGGGCGUUGAAGCAUGAUCGUAAGGACAUGUGGAGCGCUUAGAAGUGAGAAUGCCGGUGUGAGUAGCGAAAGACGGGUGAGAAUCCCGUCCACCGAUUGACUAAGGUUUCCAGAGGAAGGCUCGUCCGCUCUGGGUUAGUCGGGUCCUAAGCUGAGGCCGACAGGCGUAGGCGAUGGAUAACAGGUUGAUAUUCCUGUACCACCUAUAAUCGUUUUAAUCGAUGGGGGGACGCAGUAGGAUAGGCGAAGCGUGCGAUUGGAUUGCACGUCUAAGCAGUAAGGCUGAGUAUUAGGCAAAUCCGGUACUCGUUAAGGCUGAGCUGUGAUGGGGAGAAGACAUUGUGUCUUCGAGUCGUUGAUUUCACACUGCCGAGAAAAGCCUCUAGAUAGAAAAUAGGUGCCCGUACCGCAAACCGACACAGGUAGUCAAGAUGAGAAUUCUAAGGUGAGCGAGCGAACUCUCGUUAAGGAACUCGGCAAAAUGACCCCGUAACUUCGGGAGAAGGGGUGCUCUUUAGGGUUAACGCCCAGAAGAGCCGCAGUGAAUAGGCCCAAGCGACUGUUUAUCAAAAACACAGGUCUCUGCUAAACCGUAAGGUGAUGUAUAGGGGCUGACGCCUGCCCGGUGCUGGAAGGUUAAGAGGAGUGGUUAGCUUCUGCGAAGCUACGAAUCGAAGCCCCAGUAAACGGCGGCCGUAACUAUAACGGUCCUAAGGUAGCGAAAUUCCUUGUCGGGUAAGUUCCGACCCGCACGAAAGGCGUAACGAUUUGGGCACUGUCUCAACGAGAGACUCGGUGAAAUCAUAGUACCUGUGAAGAUGCAGGUUACCCGCGACAGGACGGAAAGACCCCGUGGAGCUUUACUGUAGCCUGAUAUUGAAAUUCGGCACAGCUUGUACAGGAUAGGUAGGAGCCUUUGAAACGUGAGCGCUAGCUUACGUGGAGGCGCUGGUGGGAUACUACCCUAGCUGUGUUGGCUUUCUAACCCGCACCACUUAUCGUGGUGGGAGACAGUGUCAGGCGGGCAGUUUGACUGGGGCGGUCGCCUCCUAAAAGGUAACGGAGGCGCUCAAAGGUUCCCUCAGAAUGGUUGGAAAUCAUUCAUAGAGUGUAAAGGCAUAAGGGAGCUUGACUGCGAGACCUACAAGUCGAGCAGGGUCGAAAGACGGACUUAGUGAUCCGGUGGUUCCGCAUGGAAGGGCCAUCGCUCAACGGAUAAAAGCUACCCCGGGGAUAACAGGCUUAUCUCCCCCAAGAGUUCACAUCGACGGGGAGGUUUGGCACCUCGAUGUCGGCUCAUCGCAUCCUGGGGCUGUAGUCGGUCCCAAGGGUUGGGCUGUUCGCCCAUUAAAGCGGUACGCGAGCUGGGUUCAGAACGUCGUGAGACAGUUCGGUCCCUAUCCGUCGUGGGCGUAGGAAAUUUGAGAGGAGCUGUCCUUAGUACGAGAGGACCGGGAUGGACAUACCUCUGGUGUACCAGUUGUCGUGCCAACGGCAUAGCUGGGUAGCUAUGUGUGGACGGGAUAAGUGCUGAAAGCAUCUAAGCAUGAAGCCCCCCUCAAGAUGAGAUUUCCCAACUUCGGUUAUAAGAUCCCUCAAAGAUGAUGAGGUUAAUAGGUUCGAGGUGGAAGCAUGGUGACAUGUGGAGCUGACGAAUACUAAUCGAUCGAAGACUUAAUCAA